This 498-nucleotide ribosomal RNA is filed under the name uncultured bacterium. Its description in RNAcentral is "partial 16S ribosomal RNA". It matches the Rfam family "Bacterial small subunit ribosomal RNA", at positions 28 to 523 of the family's 1533-position model. The record is from RNAcentral.
GAUGAACGCUAGCGGCAGGCCUAAUACAUGCAAGUCGGACGGGAUUGUGGAGCUUGCUUCACACGAGAGUGGCGCACGGGUGCGUAACACGUAUGUAACCUACCCUUGUCAGGGGGAUAGCCUCUCGAAAGAGAGAUUAAGACCGCAUAACAUUGUUUUGUGGCAUCACAGAACAAUCAAAUAUUUAUAGGACAAGGAUGGGCAUGCGGAACAUUAGCUAGUUGGUAAGGUAACGGCUUACCAAGGCUACGAUGUUUAGGGGAUCUGAGAGGAUGGCCCCCCACACUGGUACUGAGACACGGACCAGACUCCUACGGGAGGCAGCAGUAAGGAAUAUUGGUCAAUGGGCGGAAGCCUGAACCAGCCAUGCCGCGUGCAGGAAGACGGCCCUACGGGUUGUAAACUGCUUUUACAGGGGAAUAAACCUCGGUACGUGUACCGAGCUGAAUGUACUCUGAGAAUAAGGAUCGGCUAACUCCGUGCCAGCCGCCGCGGUAA